RNAcentral lists this ribosomal RNA (386 nucleotides) under uncultured bacterium. RNAcentral describes it as "bacterial SSU rRNA". It matches the Rfam family "Bacterial small subunit ribosomal RNA", at positions 416 to 794 of the family's 1533-position model. The record is from RNAcentral.
CUUCGGGUUGUAAACUGCUUUUGUACGGAGCGAAACGGUCUGCCCUAAUACGGUGGGCUAAUGACGGUACCGUAAGAAUAAGCACCGGCUAACUACGUGCCAGCAGCCGCGGUAAUACGUAGGGUGCGAGCGUUAAUCGGAAUUACUGGGCGUAAAGCGUGCGCAGGCGGUGAUGUAAGACAGAUGUGAAAUCCCCGGGCUCAACCUGGGACCUGCAUUUGUGACUGCAUCGCUAGAGUACGGUAGAGGGGGAUGGAAUUCCGCGUGUAGCAGUGAAAUGCGUAGAUAUGCGGAGGAACACCGAUGGCGAAGGCAAUCCCCUGGACCUGUACUGACGCUCAUGCACGAAAGCGUGGGGAGCAAACAGGAUUAGAUACCCUGGUAGA